This 404-nucleotide unclassified non-coding RNA is filed under the name soil metagenome. Its description in RNAcentral is "partial contains 5.8S ribosomal RNA, internal transcribed spacer 2, and large subunit ribosomal RNA". The stretch from base 1 to 122 matches the Rfam family "5.8S ribosomal RNA", at positions 35 to 154 of the family's 154-position model. The record is from RNAcentral.
GAUGAAGAACGCGGCGAAAUGCGAUACUUGGUGUGAAUUGCAGAAUCCCGUGAACCAUCGAGUUUUUGAACGCAAGUUGCGCCCGAAGCCUUUUGGCCGAGGGCACGUCUGCCUGGGCGUCACGCAUCGCGUCGCCCCCCACAAUUCUCCGUAAAGGGAACGUGUGUUUUGGGGGCGGAUAUUGGUCUCCCGUGCUCAUGGCGUGGUUGGCCGAAAUAGGAGUCCUUUCGAUGGACGCACGAACUAGUGGUGGUCGUAAAAACCCUCGUCUUUUGUUUCGUGCUGUUGCUCGCAAGGUAAACUCUUUAAAAACCCCAAUGUGUCGUCUCUUGACGACGCUUCGACCGCGACCCCAGGUCAGGCGGGACUACCCGCUGAGUUUAAGCAUAUCAAUAAGCGGAGGA